ACUUGAGUGUGGUAGAGCAGAACAGAAGGGAAGGAGGAAGGGAAAGGAUUUUUGCUGGGGAGAGAAGAGACCUUCCAACAUCCCCACUUAGAAGCCUCUCCAACAUUCCAUGAGUGUGGAAAGGAAGGCUGAGACCCAGAAAGGGAGCAUGACUGUCAAAGUUAUACAGAGACCCCAUGACAGUGGCACACAUGCAGGACCAGGGCAAGUGGAGACAUUCCUUCACACGCACUGCGGCAGAGAACCCUCAGGAACUCCGGACUCCCCCAUGCUCCCCUGGGACCAUCAGACCAAGCCCUACCCUCCACAGGCCCGAAACCACCACAGGAGACAAGCAAGAGGACACUUAACCUCCGGAGCCUGUAUGAAGAUCGUUUGGACUAAAAUGUCAAAACAGAGUUAGAUUAGUUUGCUAGAGCCUCUGUAACAAAGUACCACAGAUCGUGCAGCUUAAACAUGGAAAAACGCUGUCUCACAAUUCUGGGGGCUGGAAGUCCAGGAUCAAGGUGUCAGCAGGGCUGGUUCCUGCAGAGAGCCUGGAGGGGAGGGUCUUCCCCACGCCUCUCUCCUUGGCUUGCAUGUGGCCGAUUCCCCCUGUGUCUCUCCAUGUCAUCUUUUCUCUGUAAGUAUCUGUGUUCAAACUUCCCCCUUUCUAUGAGGACACCAGUCAAACUGGAUCAGGCCCCACCCCGAUGACCUGGUUUUAACUUUCUCACCUCUGUGAAAGCUCUGUUCCCAAAGCAGGUCACAUUUUAAAGUACUGGGGGUCAGGAGUUCAACACAGGAAUGUGGGGGGCACACUUCAAACCACAGCACGGGUAAAACUUAAUUGUGCUUUUGUUUUGUUUUCUGCCAGUGCUGGGGGGUGGGAGAAGUUGGAAUGGAAGUCGUAAGGAAGACCAGAUCAGCUACAGACAAAGCAAUUACAUUUUCUUCACACACUCAAAUUGCAGCAAGCAUUCAACGUGCAACCCCAAUACAUAAUUUAAGCAGAUUUGUGCAGCCUCCUGAAACAAUAGCGUGGAUUAGGCACGGCCCCCAGAGAUAACAAAGCAAGUUGCAGUCUUGUAGCUCCAGUAAAAGGGGGGAAAAAAUGGAAUAAAACAUUACCACAGUGAGAGCUAGCAACUUUAGGGA
Molecule: long non-coding RNA, 1137 nt
Organism: Bos taurus (domestic cattle)
Lineage: Eukaryota; Metazoa; Chordata; Mammalia; Artiodactyla; Bovidae
Source: Ensembl